UACGAACCGUGCAAACGUUAUUCGGAAUCACUGGGCAUAAAGGGCGCGUAGGCGGCUUUCUAAGUCAGGGGUGAAAUCCGGCAGCUCAACUGUCGCAGUGCCUUUGAUACUGGAGAGCUCGAGGGAGGUAGGGGUCUGUGGAACUUCCGGUGGAGCGGUGAAAUGCGUUGAUAUCGGAAGGAACGCCGGUGGCGAAAGCGACGGACUGGAUCUCUUCUGACGCUGAGGCGCGAAAGCCAGGGGAGCAAACGGG
This 253-nucleotide ribosomal RNA is filed under the name uncultured bacterium. Its description in RNAcentral is "partial 16S ribosomal RNA". It matches the Rfam family "Bacterial small subunit ribosomal RNA", at positions 524 to 776 of the family's 1533-position model. The record is from RNAcentral.